GGUCCAAAACAAAGCCCCGAGAGGAUCAUAUCUGAAGGUGCACCUGGACCUUUCUCUGGUUUUAGUUCAGGAUGGAUUCCAGUGUGCGGCCCGUCUUCAGAUCCAGUCUGGGAAUCCUGGGCUGGAAGGUGAAUAGGGAUCCUUGAUUCCUUGGAACUUCUAUUUUCUCUUGGAAUGGACUCUCCCGGAGACUCCAGGGAACAAAGAGCAACGUGUUCAUCAGCAGAGACUCAGCAAAAGGCCCAGCCAUGUCCACACGUUCCUCUCAGAGAAAUUUCAUAUACAGCUAGUCCUUGAAUAAGGACUAAGUCAGUGACUGCCUUAGUGACCCUUCCAAGUUUCAAUGGCACUGAGAAAAGGAAAUGGCGACUUACAGCAGCUGCAGCAUCCUCACCGUCUCCUGGUGAAAAUUCAGAGGACGGAAAAUGGACUCAAAUUUAUGAGGGUUGUGGCAUCCUGGGGUGGUGGGAUGGCCUUUUGUGAGCAGGUGAUGUUAAGCUUUUCCAGGUUUCACAGAGGUAAAUGGGAAGAAAGGCUCCUUGGAUCGUUGGACAGUUGGCAGCCGAAAAGGCCUUGGGUUUACCGCCAGGC
This is a non-coding RNA of Notechis scutatus (mainland tiger snake), 591 nucleotides long. The record is from RefSeq and is a predicted model, not a curated record. Lineage: Eukaryota; Metazoa; Chordata; Lepidosauria; Squamata; Elapidae.